AGGAUCAUUAUUGAACGAAAAGGGUGGCAAGGCUGUCGNUGGNNNGAAUGAGCAUGUGCACGUCUUUGCUGCUUAUUUCAUUCUCUUUCCUCCUGUGCACUUUUUGUAGACACUUGGGAAUGAGAGGUCGCAUUGACUGACCUCUUGGCUUUGAAAUGUCUGGGUGUCUAUGCAUUUUUAUAUACGCAGUUUGCAUAUUUAUAGAAUGAAAUUAUGGGCUAUUUUGUAAGCCUUUAAAUGAUAAAGUACAACUUUCAACAACGGAUCUCUUGGCUCUCGCAUCGAUGAAGAACGCAGCGAAAUGCGAUAAGUAAUGUGAAUUGCAGAAUUCAGUGAAUCAUCGAAUCUUUGAACGCAUCUUGCGCUCCUUGGUAUUCCGAGGAGCAUGCCUGUUUGAGUGUCAUUAAAUAUCUCAAAAGCUCCCUUAUGCCUCUCUUGUGGUGUGGGAAUUUUGGACAUUGGAAGUUGCCGGUCACUGAUGAAAGUGGUGGGCUCUUUUGAAAAGCAUUAGUUGAGGAGCUUUGUACUCUAUGGUGUGAUAGACUAUCUAUGCCAGGAGGUGCUCUACGAUCCUCUGCUGUCUAACUGUCUUUAUUGGACAACAUGAUAAACUUGACCUCAAAUCAGGUAGGACUACCCGCUGAACUUAAGCAUAUCAAUAAGCGGAGGA
Molecule: ribosomal RNA, 670 nt
Filed under: Amanita sp. src715
Lineage: Eukaryota; Fungi; Basidiomycota; Agaricomycetes; Agaricales; Amanitaceae
Description: eukaryotic LSU rRNA
Rfam family: 5.8S ribosomal RNA (bases 250-403)
Source: RNAcentral